UACGUAGGGUGCGAGCGUUGUCCGGAAUUAUUGGGCGUAAAGAGCUCGUACGCGGUGUGUCACGUCGGCCGUGAAAACCUGCAGCUUAACUGUGGGCGUGCGGUCGAUACGGGCAUCACUGGAGUUCGGCAGGGGAGACUGGAAUUCCUGGUGUAGCGGUGAAAUGCGCAGAUAUCAGGAGGAACACCGGUGGCGAAGGCGGGUCUCUGGGCCGAUACUGACGCUGAGGAGCGAAAGCGUGGGGAGCAAACAGG
Molecule: ribosomal RNA, 254 nt
Filed under: uncultured bacterium
Lineage: Bacteria
Description: partial 16S ribosomal RNA
Rfam family: Bacterial small subunit ribosomal RNA
Source: RNAcentral